GGGCGCAUAGCGCAGUGCUAGCGUGUUUGCUUUGUUUGCUGAAGGGCCCGGGGCUCAAUCCCCGGCGGGUCCA
Molecule: non-coding RNA, 73 nt
Organism: Phytophthora infestans T30-4
Lineage: Eukaryota; Oomycota; Peronosporomycetes; Peronosporales; Peronosporaceae
Source: the annotation of a RefSeq genome assembly